This is a long non-coding RNA of Acomys russatus (golden spiny mouse), 917 nucleotides long. RefSeq lists it as uncharacterized. NCBI's taxonomy places the organism in Eukaryota, Metazoa, Chordata, Mammalia, Rodentia, Muridae. The record is from RefSeq and is a predicted model, not a curated record. The transcript has 6 exons.
AGCCACCACAUGACUAUGGCCUGUUUCUCCUGAUGGAGGCCACUUUGUCCUAUACACAGUUUUAUACACAGAAUUUGCCCAUUGGUCCUGCUGUUGUCAUGACAGUACCCCACUACUUUCAUUUUUGUAGUUUUGUGUGUUAAUAUGUACUGUUAUACUUUUUUUUCCCUAAAGAAACAGCCCUUUAUAAAAAGCCAAAGUUUCAAAAACAAGUUAAAUAUUAACUGGGGCUUUGAUUAUAAUUACAUUAAAUCUAUAAACUUGGUAUCUCAGAGCUAUGUACAUGUACGGUAGGUAUCUCAGAGCUAUGCACAUGUAUGGUAGGUGUCUCAGAGCUAUGCACAUGUAUGGUAGGUGUCUCAGAGCUAUGCACAUGUAUGGUAGGUGUCUCAGAGCUAUGCACAUGUAUGGUAGGUGUCUCAGAGCUAUGCACAUGUAUGGUAGGUGUCUCAGAGCUAUGCACAUGUAUGGUAGGUGUCUCAGAGCUAUGCACAUGUAUGGUAGGUGUCUCAGAGCUAUGCACAUGUAUGGUAGGUGUCUCAGAGCUAUGCACAUGUAUGGUAGGUGUCUCAGAGCUAUGCACAUGUAUGGUAGGUGUCUCAGAGCUAUGCACAUGUAUGGUAGGUGUCUCAGAGCUAUGCACAUGUAUGGUAGGUAUCUCAGAGCUAUGCACAUGUAUGGUAGGUGUCUCAGAGCUAUGCACAUGUAUGGUAGGUGUCUCAGAGCUAUGCACAUGUAUGGUAGGUGUCUCAGAGCUAUGCACAUGUAUGGUAGGUGUCUCAGAGCUAUGCACAUGUAUGGUAGGUGUCUCAGAGCUAUGUACAUGUAUGGUAGGUGUCUCAGAGCUAUGCACAUGUAUGGUAGGUGUCUCAGAGCUAUGCACAUGUAUGGUAGGUGUCUCAGAGCUAUGUACAUGU